This 246-nucleotide ribosomal RNA is filed under the name uncultured bacterium. Its description in RNAcentral is "partial small subunit ribosomal RNA". It matches the Rfam family "Bacterial small subunit ribosomal RNA", at positions 26 to 285 of the family's 1533-position model. The record is from RNAcentral.
AGAAUCAACGCUGGCGGCGUGCCUAACACAUGCAAGUCGAACGAGAAAGUGGAGCAAUCCAUGAGUAAAGUGGCGACCGGGUGAGUAACACGUGACUAACCUACCUUCGAGUGGGGGAUAACCUCGGGGAAACCGAGGCUAAUACCGCAUAACAUCGCAAGAUCAAAGCAGCAAUGCGCUGGAAGAGGGGGUCGCGGCUGAUUAGCUAGUUGGCGGGGUAACGGCCCACCAAGGCGAAGAUCGGUA